This 5556-nucleotide long non-coding RNA is filed under the name Corvus moneduloides (New Caledonian crow). RNAcentral's name for it is "lncRNA (ENSCMUG00000019755.1)". The record is from RNAcentral. Lineage: Eukaryota; Metazoa; Chordata; Aves; Passeriformes; Corvidae.
GCAGAGGGAUUCCAGCCGCCCCAUCUUCAAAGCCUCUCCCUCUGUCGCUUCCUCCCGCGCAGAGCAGCUCUCCUGGACAGGGACAGCAGAUGGGACACCUGGCAAGCAAAGGGAACACUGAGUCAGGAUCGGGACGUUUCCCUUGGCGGCACCUGCACUUCCAUCAGGGAAGAGAAAUCUCAGAGCCUCCCCAGGAGGCUUAGAAAGAAAAAGCAGGCCCAGCGGGCCAGGCUGUGGCGAGCGCAGCCCCGGCGGGACCGUCCCGCAGCCCCCGGCAGCGCGGCACAGCCGGCACCGCUGCCGGGCCCUGCCGGCACAGCUGCCUUGCCCAAGGACAGCCCCUGUGCCGCCCGGGGCAGCCGCGCUGAGCGGCCCCAGCACGGGCAGGGCCCGCUCCUGCCCAGCCGGCCAGUGCCCGCGGCCAAAGCCCACGCCAGCCUCACGCCCACCCUGCCUCAGCGGCCCUGGGGCCUCACCCAGGGUCUCGGGCGGCAGCAGCAGGUCCCCGUUCGCUGCUCUUGCUGGCGGCCUUCAGCUUCUCCCUGCUGGCUCCUGUCACUCUCCGGCUCUUCUCAAGGACUUCAGCUUCUCCCUGCUGGCUCCCGUCACUCUCCGGCUCUUCUCAAGGACUUCAGGGCAGCUGUGGCAAAAGCGGAGGCUCUGGAAUUGGUUCCAAGGGCUGGCAGAGCCGCAGGCCCGGACCCCACUGUGCUCCCUGCUGGCUCCCUCCAUCCCCUCAGCAAACCCCCAGUCCUGCCAGUUCUUCAAAGUUUUCUCACCCCCCCUCACUCCCUUCAGAUCCAUCGAGUCCCCUUAGACCUGCCACCCCCCUCAGCCUGUGCCUCUUCCCUCGCGGGACUUCUACCCCUCAGUCCAACCAUUCAUUCCCCAAUUUUCCCGGUUCCCUCAGCCCCACUGUUCCCCUCAGCUCCCUCUAGAGCCCUCGGUUCCUGCCACCCUGCUCAGUCCUCCCAGUUCCCUCAGUCCUAACACCCCCCUUAGCCUGUGGGGACACUUCCCUGUCCCCUCAGUCCCCACCAUCCCCAGCAGCUCCUCCACACCUCUCUGCUCCACCAUUCCCUUCAGCUCUCCCAGUCUCUUCAAUCCCCACCAUUCCCCUCUGCUUCCCCACCAUCCCCACAGCCCCACCAGCACCUCAAAGUCACCGUCCCUUCAGUGUCACCUCUCCCCAGCCCCCUCUGUCUCACCGUCCUCCAGCAGCUCCUCAGGGCACAGGGCCUGCGGCCACCGGCAGCUCCCAUCGCUCCAGGGACACCGGGGCUGCAGCUGCUGCUCCGCCCGGCCCGGCCGCCAGCUCGGAGCCAGCACAGGAAGAGGGGACAGAGGGGGCACAGGGGCAAAAGCAAGAGGUGAGAGACGAAGCAGAGUAGAGAAAGAGCUUAAAAAGCAGCCUGUAUUUAUUCAAAUAUCUAUCAAUCUAUCUAAAGCUCCAUAUACCUAUAGCUAUAUAAAUAUAACUGUGCCCAUUUAUAACUAUACAUAUAUAAAUGUAACUUCACAUCUUUAAAUGCAACUACAUAUAUAAAAAAUAACUUUAUACAUCUACAACUACAAAUAUAUAUUUAACUACUCAGAUCUGUAACUACAACUAUCUAGACAUUUAAGUUCAACUACAUAAAUCAGGGGAUUGCACCUGCCUAAUGAUCACAGGCUCUCUCUCUGUCUCUUCCUCCCAUGCAGGACAGCCCUCUUGGAGAGGUCGAUCAGAUGGAAUCUGGGAAGCAAAGGCAACACUGAGUCAAUACCGGCCCUCAUGCGCAUUUCCCUUGGGCAGCAAUUGUCCUUCUAUCAGGGACUGUAAAAGAUGGCCUGAAAGGGCCAUCACUUGGGAAUUCACUUGGAAAUUUGAAGGUUGCUCUUUAAAGAACAGGGAUCCUUUCAAGUUUUCAAAACCUCCAAAGGUUUGAAGUGUCCCAAUAGAGUCUCAGCACCCACAGUGCAAAUGGCACCCACGAGAGCCUGAAGCACAGACAGUCCCAGCUCCCACACAGAAGCCCAGCCUUGCUCUUUCUCUGUGCUGACAGAGACACCUCAGUCCUCACUGGAAUGGCUGAAGCUGAAGGGUGCUGUGAGCUAUGAACCAUUACCUGGGACCUACAAACUGCCCUCUGCAGUGAGCAACAGCGGCUCCAACUCGACCAUCAGCUCUGGCAGAAAGAGCUGGGAGGGAAAGAGCUCCCCACGAGGCCUGCAGGCUGCACCAGCUUGGCUAAGGAAUGGAUCCAAAGUGCUCCCUCUGUCCUCUUAGGUCCUGCUGAUCUGGGCUCAUUCAGGCUUUUCCUUUUGUGACUGGAUUUGUGAUUUUUCAAUGGGUUGGCCUCUGAUGUUCAGCUCCUUGCUUUUCUUGUGUCUCAGGACAGAUACCAGCAGACUGGUACUACCUUCAGUCGGUGAUUUGAGACCAAAUGUUUGGACUUUUAGCCUGAUGUUUUGCCCUUUUAUUUCCCCUGUUCCUUCAAGAGUCCUUCGGCCCGGCCUCCACCCUGCAGCAAAUUCAUCCAAGGACUUCACAAAAUUGGGACAGCCAGGUUGGUGACACAGCUCCCACAGGUUGGGUUUAUUCACUGCUCUCUGGCCACAGCACAGCACUCGGUGUCAGUGCCUCUGGAGAAGCGUGGAGGGCAGGGCUCGGGGAGGCUGUGCCAGGGCAGGAUUUGACCUAAAGGCACCAGGAAGCACCAGCCCUGCAGACAGAACUCAACUCUUCUCAUCUCCCUUCCUGCCAGAGGCAGGCUCAGAGCAGCCGCCUCAGAGCUCUCUAAAGCAGUGUGGGCUCUCUCCUUACCAGGCUCCUCAGGCUCUGGGGAACUGUUCCUGCAGCUCUCGGUGCCAGGCAAAGCUCCCUCUGCUGCAGCCCUGUUCCCAGCCUCCCCUCCUGAAGACUCGGCAGCAACAUUAGCAUUCCCCUUGAAGGAAAACCAGAAAGAAAGAAACCCAAAGAUCACUCCGUAUUUUCUUGGAAUCCCAUCAGGGAUACAACAAAUCUUCUUCUCCACUCCCAACAGGAGGGGAACGCUGCCCAAACCAUUCAUGUGACAAUCGUUUGAAACUCAGGAUUCGUGUGACCAAGGUGCAACUGAAGCUCUUACAAAAUGACCUUGGAGGCAAACGGUGAACUCGGAAAACCAGGAGACACCAAGGGAGGGGACGUGCCCUCACACUCUGAGCCUGGCUUCUCCCACCAGCUGUAAGAAAUCAGCCAGCAGAAAGCCUGGGGCCCUCCUGCUUCCCAACACGGCCAUCGACAGGGGCAGAGCUCGCUGCCAGCACUGCCCAGGGCUGGGUGCUGCAAACCUGCACGCAAAGCACACAUUUCUGCCUGGCUCUCUCACCACCCCCCACCCAGCCGCUCAGACCAUCAACCACAAGGCGGUGCUUUUUGGAGCCCUCUGCUGCUGCCCCGUAUGGAUGAUCCGGGCAAACGUUUAUGGACCUAGGGUAUUUCCAGCAUCAAAUUUUCCAGUGCCAAAAGUCUGUAAAUCUGGAGGGUACCAAAGAAACCAACCCAAAAGACGUGAAAAGCCAGACAACCAAGUUGUGUUUCCUAAUUCCACUGAGGAAGGAAAUGCCCAAGAUUAAGCACCUGCAAGUUACCUUUAGACAGAAGGAUAUUCUCACUAUGACCACUUCCAGAAUAUUCAUCUCCUCUGCAACAGCCUGUCCACCAGAAUCCUAAAGAUUCUAAAGAUGGUUCAGAGCUUGCAAUAUUUCCUUUUAUUAGGGAAUAAAAUGCCUUUAAAAACUGCUGUGUGGGGGUUUACAGAAGACAUCACACUUGAGAACAACAUAUUGGUAAAUCCAAAAAGCCCCACUCCCCACCUUGAGUCUGCCCUUCCUCAACCAUAAACGUACUGCAGGCAGUGGGGCUGCACACGAAUAGAAAGAGAGACAUUCUCUGGCCAACAUGUAGAACAGCCUGCAAAAAGGCCUGUGCCAACACAGACACUCCAGGCAAGUCUGGGAAGAGGCAAGAGUUAAGAGAAAUGGGAUUCCUGAUCCCAAGACUGCAUCUGUCAAACAGAAGGAGCAGAAAGCUGCAGCUCCAGCCCAUCCCCAAGCACGGCUCUGGCAGCGCCUGCACGCUCGGCACGGCUCACACAGCAGCAGCAGCAGCAGCUGCAGCCCAGCCCUUGCUUUGCCUUGGCCUUCCCACCCAAAACAGGCAGAGCCCACGUCUGCUGCUCUAACAGAGGCACCUCUCGCAUGCCCCUCCCUGCAGGGGACACUUUGCCUUCAGUGGCAAUUCUCCCCACACUCUUCUCUUCUGUCCCACCAAACAAAGCCUCUUAGAACCUACAGAGCAUCACCACAAAUGCCCCUGCACCAGGGAUUCUUCCCAGCAAAAGGAGCACCCAAACGUGGCCACCACAGGAUCACACCUCUCAUCCUCACUAAGGGGGGAGACUUUGUCAUCCCUCUUCUUUUAGAAAUCUUGCUUGACCAACAAGAAUUCAAUCACUAAAUAAUCAUGAAAUCAACUAAAGAAGCCUUUGCAGCAAUGUUCAAAAGCUCUCAGCCCAGCCCCUUCAUUCCCAUCCAGUGGGGUUACCUGAGCAAAGGGAGACCUUUCAGCCACGGAUCUCCUGAUCUCCCGAAUCAUUGCCUCGACCUGAAGGCCCAGAUCCGCUGAAGGCAAUUCCUCUUGCCCAGGUGCAUUCCGUGUCUUGCUGGAGGUCGUCGAUGCUGCACAAGCAGCACUGCCAGGUGGAGCACUGGAGGCUGAACUGUCCGGUGUGGCUGCAGGAAUCCAAACACAUUGGUCAGGCUCCAGAAUGUGGCUUUGGGACACAGAGCUCGAUUGCUGCCUUGCAGCAAACAUCACAGGAAGCACACAGGAAAACCAGACAGAGAUUCUUCCGGCUUUCCAGAUCCCCCUUCCUAGCAGGUUUGACAAUUUCUGUCUGGGAAUGACAGAGCGUUGUGGGGAAAUACUUCAAACGGUCACUUUUCACGACCUUUUGGAACACUUUUCCUACCUGAUGGCUUGCAGGCUGGGGACUGCUGCUCCGUUUGGAGCUGCUCGAAGCUGCACGGCGGGAUCCUGAGCAGCUCCCGCCCGGCCGGAGGCGGCCGCUCCAUGUGGGGCUGCUGGAAAGCCCAGGGCGGCAGCCCGGCCGGCGGCGGCUGCAGCCCGUACAGCUUCUGGAGGCGGCUCAGCCCCUCCCGCCUGACCGGCAGCAGCGGCUCCCCGUAGAGCCCGAGGAGCUCGCAGGGCGGGAUCCUGGGCACCUCCCGCUCGGCAGGCAGCGGCCGCUCCCCGUACAGCUCCUGGAAGCGGCUGGGCCCGUCCCGCCGGGCCGGCUGCGGCCGGUCCCUGUGGAGGAGGUGGAAGCCACAGGGCGGGCGCCGGGCCAGGAGCGGCCGCUCUCUGGGGGGCUGCUGGAAGCGGCUCGGCCGCCGGCUGCGCAGCUCCCGCCCGUCCGGCAGCGUCCGCUCCCUGUGCAGGAGCAAGAAGCCGCUGGGCGGCCGCCCCGCCGGCAGCGGCGGCCGCUCCCGAGGCAGCGCCUGGAACCGCCCGCGCCCCUCCGGCCCCGC